RNAcentral lists this ribosomal RNA (1519 nucleotides) under Escherichia coli. RNAcentral's name for it is "partial 23S ribosomal RNA". It matches the Rfam family "Bacterial large subunit ribosomal RNA", at positions 1417 to 2915 of the family's 2925-position model. RNAcentral also lists the same sequence under 1 other name. Lineage: Bacteria; Pseudomonadati; Pseudomonadota; Gammaproteobacteria; Enterobacterales; Enterobacteriaceae. The record is from RNAcentral.
GAUGGGAAACAGGUUAAUAUUCCUGUACUUGGUGUUACUGCGAAGGGGGGACGGAGAAGGCUAUGUUGGCCGGGCGACGGUUGUCCCGGUUUAAGCGUGUAGGCUGGUUUUCCAGGCAAAUCCGGAAAAUCAAGGCUGAGGCGUGAUGACGAGGCACUACGGUGCUGAAGCAACAAAUGCCCUGCUUCCAGGAAAAGCCUCUAAGCAUCAGGUAACAUCAAAUCGUACCCCAAACCGACACAGGUGGUCAGGUAGAGAAUACCAAGGCGCUUGAGAGAACUCGGGUGAAGGAACUAGGCAAAAUGGUGCCGUAACUUCGGGAGAAGGCACGCUGAUAUGUAGGUGAAGUCCCUUGCGGAUGGAGCUGAAAUCAGUCGAAGAUACCAGCUGGCUGCAACUGUUUAUUAAAAACACAGCACUGUGCAAACACGAAAGUGGACGUAUACGGUGUGACGCCUGCCCGGUGCCGGAAGGUUAAUUGAUGGGGUCAGCGCAAGCGAAGCUCUUGAUCGAAGCCCCGGUAAACGGCGGCCGUAACUAUAACGGUCCUAAGGUAGCGAAAUUCCUUGUCGGGUAAGUUCCGACCUGCACGAAUGGCGUAAUGAUGGCCAGGCUGUCUCCACCCGAGACUCAGUGAAAUUGAACUCGCUGUGAAGAUGCAGUGUACCCGCGGCAAGACGGAAAGACCCCGUGAACCUUUACUAUAGCUUGACACUGAACAUUGAGCCUUGAUGUGUAGGAUAGGUGGGAGGCUUUGAAGUGUGGACGCCAGUCUGCAUGGAGCCGGCCUUGAAAUACCACCCUUUAAUGUUUGAUGUUCUAACGUGGACCCGUGAUCCGGGUUGCGGACAGUGUCUGGUGGGUAGUUUGACUGGGGCGGUCUCCUCCUAAAGAGUAACGGAGGAGCACGAAGGUUGGCUAAUCCUGGUCGGACAUCAGGAGGUUAGUGCAAUGGCAUAAGCCAGCUUGACUGCGAGCGUGACGGCGCGAGCAGGUGCGAAAGCAGGUCAUAGUGAUCCGGUGGUUCUGAAUGGAAGGGCCAUCGCUCAACGGAUAAAAGGUACUCCGGGGAUAACAGGCUGAUACCGCCCAAGAGUUCAUAUCGACGGCGGUGUUUGGCACCUCGAUGUCGGCUCAUCACAUCCUGGGGCUGAAGUAGGUCCCAAGGGUAUGGCUGUUCGCCAUUUAAAGUGGUACGCGAGCUGGGUUUAGAACGUCGUGAGACAGUUCGGUCCCUAUCUGCCGUGGGCGCUGGAGAACUGAGGGGGGCUGCUCCUAGUACGAGAGGACCGGAGUGGACGCAUCACUGGUGUUCGGGUUGUCAUGCCAAUGGCACUGCCCGGUAGCUAAAUGCGGAAGAGAUAAGUGCUGAAAGCAUCUAAGCACGAAACUUGCCCCGAGAUGAGUUCUCCCUGACCCUUUAAGGGUCCUGAAGGAACGUUGAAGACGACGACGUUGAUAGGCCGGGUGUGUAAGCGCAGCGAUGCGUUGAGCUAACCGGUACUAAUGAACCGUGAGG